CCUACGGGCGGCAGCAGUGAGGAAUAUUGGUCAAUGGGCGAAAGCCUGAACCAGCCAAGUCGCGUGAGGGAUGACGGCCCUAUGGGUUGUAAACUUCUUUUAUAUGGGAAUAAAAUGCUUCACGUGUGGGGUUUUGUAUGUACCAUAUGAAUAAGGAUCGGCUAACUCCGUGCCAGCAGCCGCGGUAAUACGGAGGAUGCGAGCGUUAUCCGGAUUUAUUGGGUUUAAAGGGAGCGUAGGCGGGUUGUUAAGUCAGGUGUGAAAGUGUGCGGCUCAACCCUAGAAUUGCAGUUGAAACUGGCAGUCUUGAGUACAGUAGAGGUGGGCGGAAUUCGUGGUGUAGCGGUGAAAUGCUUAGAUAUCACGAAGAACUCCGAUUGCGAAGGCAGCUAACUGGACUGUAACUGACGCUGAGGCUCGAAAGUGUGGGUAUCAAACAGGAUUAGAUACCCGGGUAGUC
RNAcentral lists this ribosomal RNA (460 nucleotides) under uncultured bacterium. RNAcentral describes it as "partial 16S ribosomal RNA". It matches the Rfam family "Bacterial small subunit ribosomal RNA", at positions 338 to 795 of the family's 1533-position model. The record is from RNAcentral.